AAAGCUUGCUUUUGAAGAUGACGAGCGGCGGACGGGUGAGUAAUGCCUGGGAAUAUGCCUUGAUGUGGGGGAUAACCAUUGGAAACGAUGGCUAAUACCGCAUAAUGCCUACGGGCCAAAGAGGGGGAUCUUCGGACCUCUCGCGUCAAGAUUAGCCCAGGUGGGAUUAGCUAGUUGGUGAGGUAAUGGCUCACCAAGGCGACGAUCCCUAGCUGGUCUGAGAGGAUGAUCAGCCACACUGGAACUGAGACACGGUCCAGACUCCUACGGGAGGCAGCAGUGGGGAAUAUUGCACAAUGGGCGCAAGCCUGAUGCAGCCAUGCCGCGUGUGUGAAGAAGGCCUUCGGGUUGUAAAGCACUUUCAGUCGUGAGGAAGGUAGUUGCGUUAAUAGCGUAAUUAUUUGACGUUAGCGACAGAAGAAGCACCGGCUAACUCCGUGCCAGCAGCCGCGGUAAUACGGAGGGUGCGAGCGUUAAUCGGAAUUACUGGGCGUAAAGCGCAUGCAGGUGGUUUGUUAAGUCAGAUGUGAAAGCCCGGGGCUCAACCUCGGAAUUGCAUUUGAAACUGGCAGACUAGAGUACUGUAGAGGGGGGUAGAAUUUCAGGUGUAGCGGUGAAAUGCGUAGAGAUCUGAAGGAAUACCGGUGGCGAAGGCGGCCCCCUGGACAGAUACUGACACUCAGAUGCGAAAGCGUGGGGAGCAAACAGGAUUAGAUACCCUGGUAGUCCACGCCGUAAACGAUGUCUACUUGGAGGUUGUGGCCUUGAGCCGUGGCUUUCGGAGCUAACGCGUUAAGUAGACCGCCUGGGGAGUACGGUCGCAAGAUUAAAACUCAAAUGAAUUGACGGGGGCCCGCACAAGCGGUGGAGCAUGUGGUUUAAUUCGAUGCAACGCGAAGAACCUUACCUACUCUUGACAUCCAGAGAAGCCAGCGGAGACGCAGGUGUGCCUUCGGGAACUCUGAGACAGGUGCUGCAUGGCUGUCGUCAGCUCGUGUUGUGAAAUGUUGGGUUAAGUCCCGCAACGAGCGCAACCCUUAUCCUUGUUUGCCAGCGAGUAAUGUCGGGAACUCCAGGGAGACUGCCGGUGAUAAACCGGAGGAAGGUGGGGACGACGUCAAGUCAUCAUGGCCCUUACGAGUAGGGCUACACACGUGCUACAAUGGCGCAUACAGAGGGCUGCCAACCAGCGAUGGUGAGCGAAUCCCAAAAAGUGCGUCGUAGUCCGGAUUGGAGUCUGCAACUCGACUCCAUGAAGUCGGAAUCGCUAGUAAUCGUGGAUCAGAAUGCCACGGUGAAUACGUUCCCGGGCCUUGUACACACCGCCCGUCACACCAUGGGAGUGGGCUGCAAAAGAAGUGGGUAGUUUAACCUUUCGAGGAG
This 1383-nucleotide ribosomal RNA is filed under the name Vibrio sp. HGLP-23. RNAcentral describes it as "bacterial SSU rRNA". It matches the Rfam family "Bacterial small subunit ribosomal RNA", at positions 75 to 1448 of the family's 1533-position model. Lineage: Bacteria; Pseudomonadati; Pseudomonadota; Gammaproteobacteria; Vibrionales; Vibrionaceae. The record is from RNAcentral. RNAcentral also lists the same sequence under 1 other name.